RNAcentral lists this ribosomal RNA (435 nucleotides) under uncultured Roseburia sp. RNAcentral describes it as "partial 16S ribosomal RNA". It matches the Rfam family "Bacterial small subunit ribosomal RNA", at positions 341 to 792 of the family's 1533-position model. Lineage: Bacteria; Bacillati; Bacillota; Clostridia; Lachnospirales; Lachnospiraceae. The record is from RNAcentral.
ACGGAAGGCAGCAGUGGGGAAUAUUGCACAAUGGGCGAAAGCCUGAUGCAGCGACGCCGCGUGAGUGAUGAAGUAUUUCGGUAUGUAAAGCUCUAUCAGCAGGGAAGAAAAAUGACGGUACCUGACUAAGAAGCACCGGCUAAAUGCGUGCCAGCAGCCGCGGUAAUACGUAUGGUGCAAGCGUUAUCCGGAUUUACUGGGUGUAAAGGGAACGCAGGCGGUACGGCAAGUCUGAUGUGAAAGCCCGGGGCUCAACCCCGGUACUGCAUUGGAAACUGUCGAACUAGAGUGUCGGAGGGGUAAGUGGAAUUCCUAGUGUAGCGGUGAAAUGCGUAGAUAUUAGGAGGAACACCAGUGGCGAAGGCGGCUUACUGGACGAUAACUGACGCUGAGGCUCGAAAGCGUGGGGAGCAAACAGGAUUAGAUACCCUGGUA